This 305-nucleotide ribosomal RNA is filed under the name uncultured Flavobacterium sp. RNAcentral describes it as "bacterial SSU rRNA". It matches the Rfam family "Bacterial small subunit ribosomal RNA", at positions 28 to 334 of the family's 1533-position model. The record is from RNAcentral. Lineage: Bacteria; Pseudomonadati; Bacteroidota; Flavobacteriia; Flavobacteriales; Flavobacteriaceae.
GAUGAACGCUAGCGGCAGGCCUAACACAUGCAAGUCGAGGGGUAGAAGGAGCUUGCUCCUUUGAGACCGGCGCACGGGUGCGUAACGCGUAUGCAACCUGCCUUCCACAGGGGAAUAGCCCAGAGAAAUUUGGAUUAAUGCCCCAUGGCACAGCGAGACGGCAUCGUCUUGCUGUUAAAGUAACAACGGUGGAAGAUGGGCAUGCGUCCCAUUAGCUAGUUGGUAAGGUAACGGCUUACCAGGGCUAUGAUGGGUAGGGGUCCUGAGAGGGAGAUCCCCCACACUGGUACUGAGACACGGACCAG